GGUCGCAGCCACCGCGCCUCGCCUGGGGCUGCAGCAACCAGCACGCAGGCACCCCUGGAACAGGCUGGACUGCCUUUCCGACGAGCGUCCUGCGCCCGGACUGUGGAGGGCCCCAGCCGCUUUCCAGCUUUCGGCUCCAGGGCUCAGCGCCACGCGCUCCGGCUCACACCCUCGGCCCCUGGCACCCGGUGCCGGCCCCGUGGGUCCCGCUCACACGCACCCUGGGCAGGGCCCCGCGGUGCGCCCCAUAGUUUGGGGGCAGCUCCCAGGUGUCUCUGGGAAGGGAAAGAAAGGCCACAAAGCAAAAGGAGCAAAAAGGCGAAGGAGGAGCAGAGGCCCGGGUCCUGUGGACUCGCCUGGGCUGGGGGUGGGGACACUGAGAGGGCUGCAAAGGCUCCGGGGGGUCGCGCGUGGCCCCCGGGCUCACCCCUGGCUCUCGGCUGCCCUUCCCUCCCCUUCCUGGGCUCCGGGCCCCUCUCAGUGCAGUUCCUUUCUCCUCCCCUCGGGCCCUCUCCCCUCUCCUCUCCGAAGCGGGACUCAGUCCUGGGGAUUAAGAGAAAGGAGGGAGGGGAAAGGGGAGGAGAAGGGAAGGGGGGGAGGAGAAGGGAAGGGGUGGAGGAGAAAGGGGGACGAUCCUUCCAAAGGCGGGUGUUGAGUUUCAGCUCAGGACCCUCGGGUCCAGCUGCCUGUUCCCACUCCCCCCGCCCCCCCACCCUCCUCGCCUUCGCCCCAGGCCCCAGUCCCCCAGCGCCUUCCUUCUCCAGACUCCUCGGCUGGCCUCGAUCGCGGUGGUCUGGUCUGGUCGGCUCCCUUUGGGAGCUUUCCUCUCCCUGCCACGCCCCCGUCUCCCCACCUCCCCCCGCAGCCCCACGCCUCUCGGCCUCCCUUUUCAUUAUCCCCACAUCUGUCUUUCCCAUGGGAGGGAGCGCGCGCCUUCCGCCCUGCGGGGCCUUUAGCGGAGCCUCUCGGCUUCUCAGUGCCUCCGUUGCAGGGCUGCAGGUUUCGCUGGGCCGUUCUUGCAGGGCACAGGUGGGGAGUCUAGCGCUGGACAUGGAUUCUCGCCCUGGUGACAGAACAAGAAGCUGGGCGUCUGGCCCCAGAGCUGCAAGCGGGCAGGUUGUGUGGUCUCUUACACUCCUCUGCCAGUCUGGGCCUGCCGGCCUCCACAGCCUGGUUCACUCUUGCUGCUAG
This 1191-nucleotide long non-coding RNA is filed under the name Callithrix jacchus (white-tufted-ear marmoset). Its description in RNAcentral is "lncRNA (ENSCJAG00000080453.1)". The record is from RNAcentral. Lineage: Eukaryota; Metazoa; Chordata; Mammalia; Primates; Cebidae.